CUGCUCAAUGAUUUUUUAAAUUGCUGUGGUAUUUUGACUAUACAAAGGUAUUGAAAUAAGAUUUUAAUUGAAUGCUAAGAGAAUGGAAUUUCAGAAAACAUCUUUUUUAAAAUUAAAAAUUGAAGUUUUUUUAAUUUGUGCAGAAACAAUUAUUAAAAUUAAAGACAAGAAGACCCUAAGAAUUUAUUAAUUUUAAUAGCACAAUUUAUGUAAAAAUUAAAUUUUAGCUGGGGCGGCUAAGAAACAUUAAAAACUUUUUAAAUUCAAUACGACCCAUUAUUAAUGAUAAUAUGAUAAAUACUCUAGGGAUAACAGCGUUAUAUUUUUUGAUAGCUCAUAUUGACAAAAAAGUUUGCGACCUCGAUGUUGGAUUAGGAUACUUUUUUAAUGAAGACGUUAAAAUAAGAAGUUUGUUCAACUUUUAAAUUCCUACUUGAUCUGAGUUCAGACCGGA
Molecule: ribosomal RNA, 454 nt
Filed under: Rhipicephalus kohlsi
Lineage: Eukaryota; Metazoa; Arthropoda; Arachnida; Ixodida; Ixodidae
Description: partial large subunit ribosomal RNA
Rfam family: Bacterial large subunit ribosomal RNA (bases 164-454)
Source: RNAcentral